AAGAAAGUAUCACAUUUAAUUUGUCAUGAUUUUGCCCAUAGGAAAUUUGAAUCAGCUUCAAGCCUCACCCAUAAUGUUUGAAGUGGUUUAAUUUGGAUUUGGGCUCAUUUCAUAUAUAGAAAUCAUAAUUAUCCUUUAUUGACCAUCUUAUUAAUGCCACAUCACCGCCUCAUGAUAAAUCUUUCAAAGUGAAAAUCACUUGGAAAUCAUGACUUUUCAAUUCCUUCCCAAGAUGGUCCCCAGAUUUUUUUCAUUCCUCCUAGGCAACGUCUACGAUUUUCCCAUUCCCUCCUAAUAAGGGGCGGCCCAUCCUAAUGUAAUUUUGGAUUUAUUUCAAUCCUUCCUUGGCAGCACACUAAGGAUUUAUUUCCUUUCUUAUUGGCCACCCUUUAGGUUUAUUUUCUUUCUUGACGGCACCUUUAGGGCUUCCUUUCUUUUCUAUCAAGUAUCUUUGCUCUUGGCCAACGCCAACUGAGUGACGAGCCAGUGGCCUCAUCAUGAAAUAGGAUUAAGGAAACAACCAAGAGAAUCCAAAGGUCAGAGUCAGCAAGAACUAAUGUUGAAGGCACUCCAUUAAAGCAUCAUACUUCUCAUGCUCAAGAAGAAGAGGAAGAUGAAGAAGAAGAAACUGACGAUGAAGAACUUGUUUCUGUUGAUGAUGAUGAUGAUGAGAUAGAUCCGGUUGAUGAAGAUGAUAUUGAUGAUAAUUAAUUAUUUAUAAUUUUGUUUUGGACUUGUAUUGGAUUGUAAUUGUUUCACAAAUAUGAAUAUUGAUGUCAUGGGUUGUUUAUCAUUUGGUUUUUAUGUAACAUUGUUGUAAAUACUUUAGCUUUGUUAGUAACUUUAUAUUGAAUAUAUGAUAAAUAUUUCUUAGUAGAUUU
This is a long non-coding RNA of Elaeis guineensis (African oil palm), 881 nucleotides long. RefSeq lists it as uncharacterized. Lineage: Eukaryota; Viridiplantae; Streptophyta; Magnoliopsida; Arecales; Arecaceae. The record is from RefSeq and is a predicted model, not a curated record.